RNAcentral lists this small RNA (173 nucleotides) under Chrysemys picta bellii (western painted turtle). RNAcentral's name for it is "TUC338 (ENSCPBG00000018193.1)". Lineage: Eukaryota; Metazoa; Chordata; Testudines; Emydidae. The record is from RNAcentral.
GUGUCAGCUGCAGAGACUGAUGUCAUCUUUGUAACACCAGAAAAGAUACAGCACAGGCAGAAGCAUUACAAGCUUCCCUGAGCCAUCCCAUUAAUGUGCCUUAACCCUGACGAGUAGAGCUGCAAGCCUUGGUCAUAGGCUUCUAUCUCUGCCGUUGUCAUAAUGGGGCUGUU